CCUACGGGAGGCAGCAGUGAGGAAUAUUGGUCAAUGGCCGGAAGCCUGAACCAGCCAAGUAGCGUGCGGGAUGAAGGCCCUACGGGUCGUAAACCGCUUUUGCACGGGGAUAACACCCUCCACUUGUGGAUGUCUGCAGGUACCGUACGAAUAAGGGCCGGCUAAUUCCGUGCCAGCAGCCGCGGUAAUACGGAAGACCCGAGCGUUAUCCGGAUUUAUUGGGCUUAAAGGGAGCGUAGGCGGGCGUUCAAGUCAGCUGUAAAAUCGCGGGGCUCAACCGCGCCCCGCAGUUGAAACUGGAAGACUUGAGUUCACAAGAGGUAGGCGGAAUGCGUGGUGUAGCGGUGAAAUGCAUAGAUAUCACGAAGAACCCCGAUUGCGAAGGCAGCCUGCCGGGGUGCGACUGACGCUGAGGCUCGAAGGUGCGGGUAUCAAACAGGAUUAGAUACCCUGGUAGUC
RNAcentral lists this ribosomal RNA (459 nucleotides) under uncultured bacterium. Its description in RNAcentral is "partial 16S ribosomal RNA". It matches the Rfam family "Bacterial small subunit ribosomal RNA", at positions 338 to 795 of the family's 1533-position model. The record is from RNAcentral.